GAGACCAUAAACUUAUAGGUGUACCUGACAGGUUUGCCUGUGCAGUUGCGACUGUCAGGCAAAGUUGAGGCAAAA
Aricia agestis (brown argus) is the source of this 75-nucleotide long non-coding RNA. RefSeq lists it as uncharacterized. The record is from RefSeq and is a predicted model, not a curated record. The transcript has 3 exons. NCBI's taxonomy places the organism in Eukaryota, Metazoa, Arthropoda, Insecta, Lepidoptera, Lycaenidae.